Non-coding RNA from Saimiri boliviensis boliviensis (Bolivian squirrel monkey), 391 nucleotides. The record is from RefSeq and is a predicted model, not a curated record. NCBI's taxonomy places the organism in Eukaryota, Metazoa, Chordata, Mammalia, Primates, Cebidae.
UCUUCACCUCCCAUGCUGACCUGUCCGGCAUCAGCAACCACUCAAACAUCCAGGUGUCUGAUAUGGUGCACAAAGCUGUGGUGGAGGUGGAUGAGUCUGGGACCAGAGCGGCAGCAGCCACGGGGACAAUCUUCAUGUUCAGGUCGGCCCACCUGGGCUCUCAGAAGCUAGUGUUCAACAGGCCCUUUCUGAUGGUCAUUGUGGAGAGCAAUAUCCUCUUCCUUGGCAAAGUGAACCGCCCCUGAGGUGGGGCUUCUCCUGAAAUCUACAGGCCUCGGGUGGGAGAUGAAGGUGGGUGUGCUAUGGCCCAUCCGUAUGCUGGUAGCUAAUGAUUUACACUGGUUUAGUUGACUAAUGAGGCAUUACAAACAAUAAAAUUACUAAAUAAUGA